This is a long non-coding RNA of Lycium ferocissimum, 367 nucleotides long. RefSeq lists it as uncharacterized. The transcript is spliced from 2 exons. Lineage: Eukaryota; Viridiplantae; Streptophyta; Magnoliopsida; Solanales; Solanaceae. The record is from RefSeq and is a predicted model, not a curated record.
UGAUGUAUAAAUGGCCCUUCUGGCAGUGAUUGACUAAAUAUGGCCCUCUCGGCAUGUUUGUAUGAACAUGGACCUCUCGGCAUUUUGUAUAAAUAUGGCCCUCACGGCAUGUUUGUAUGAAUAUGGCCCUCUUGGCAUUUGUAUGAAUAUGGCCCUCACGGCGUGUUUGUAUGAAUAUGGCCCUCUCGGCAUUUUGUAUGAAUAUGGCCCUCUAGGAAGUUUGUAUGAAUAUGGCCCUCACGGCAUGUAUGUAUGAAUAUGGCCCUCUUGGCAACAAGAAAAAAUAUGCAAUGGCCCUCAUGGCAAUAAGAAAAAAAAAAUGCAAUGGCCCUCAUGGCAAUUAAGAAAAUAUGAUGGCCCUCACGGG